This 2010-nucleotide long non-coding RNA is filed under the name Coturnix japonica (Japanese quail). RNAcentral's name for it is "lncRNA (ENSCJPG00005002655.1)". Lineage: Eukaryota; Metazoa; Chordata; Aves; Galliformes; Phasianidae. The record is from RNAcentral.
GCUGGGGGGGGGGUAUCUAUUAUGUGCCCCCCCCCUUUAAAUUCAAGUCUAUCUAUGGGGCUGGGGGGGGGCUAUUAAGGGGGGGGGUCUAUUAUGUGCCCCCCCCCCCCAAGCCUUACAGUCUAUGGGGCUGAUGGGGGGGGGGUUUUUUCCAAAUUCGCCUCCCCCCCUCCUUUAUGUCUAUAUAAUAGGGCUGGGGGGGGGGGGGCAGGUGAUAAAUAACCCCCCCCCCCCCUCAUGUCUAUCUAUGGGGUUGUGGGGGGGGGGGUAGAUAUUCAAUACCCCCCUUUUAAAUUCAAGUCUAUCUAUGGGGCGCUGGGGGGGGGGCUAUUAAAGGGGGGGGGGCCUAUUAUGUGCCCCCCCCCCCCCCCCCCCCUGUUACAGCAUCUAAGUAUGGGACUGAGGGGGGAGUGGGAUGUAUGUAUUAGGAAUGUCCGCUCUCCUCCUCCUUCAUGUCUAGUCUAUAGGGGCGGUGGGGGGUAGAUAGUAAUAUGCAGCCCCACCCGCCCCCUGAGACAGUGGGGGGGUGCUAGAAAGCAAGCUGUUUCCUCAAUUUGCGUCUGGAUGCUGUUCUGGCUAUGGGGGGUCGGAUCCUUUGGCUGUUCCUCGGGGCUCCUCCUGCCCCCCCCGGGUUUGGAAAUGGGGGGGGGGUUAAUGGUGGUGCUACGCGGACUCGCCCAUGUUAUGGUUGGAGGGGGAGCGGGGUUGGAGACGCGCCAACAGUGGGUGAUGAUUAUUGCGAAAAUCGAAGGGGUGGAUGAAAGGGUGGGGGGGGGGAGGGGGAGGGGAGGAGGGAAGAGCCUCGUGGUGACGGGGGGGAGGGGCGUCACCAUGGCAACCAGGAAGAGCAUCACCAUGGAGACGGUCACCAUGGCAACAAGGAGGAGCAUCAACAUGGCGGCCAUGAAGAGCAUCAACAUGGCGACCAUAAAGAGCAUCACCAUGGCAACCAGGAUGGGCAUCAACAUGGCGACCGUCACCAUGGAUGAAGAGCAUCUCCAUGGCAACCAUCACCAUGGCAACCAUCACCAUGGCAACCAGGAUGGAGACCGUCACCAUGGCAACCAGGAGGAUGCUCAUCACCAUGGCAACCAGGAUGUCCAUCACCAUGACGACCACGAGGAUGCUCAUCCCCAUGACGACCAUGAUGUCCAUCACCAUGACGACCAUGAUGUCCAUCACCAUGGCAACCAGGAUGCUCGUCACCAUGGCAACCAUCACCAUGGCGACCCCGUGAGCUCCGAGGAGGAGGAUGAUGAUGAUGAUGAUGGUGGUGGGGGCAGCUCGGAGGAGGAUGAAGAUGAUGAUGAUGAUGAUGAUGGUGGUGAUGGACGUUACAGGCCGGGAUCCAUCUGCAGCUACUGCAGCUUCUGCAAGGUGAGCUAUGGGGCGGAUGUGGGGCAGCUAUGGGGCAGAUAUAGGGCAGAUAUAGGGUAUCUAUGGGGCAGCUAUGGGGUAUCUAUGGGGCAGCUAUGGGGUAGAUAUGGGGCACUAUGGGGCAGCUAUGGGGGUAUCUAUGGGGCCAGCUAUGGGCAGCUAUGGGGUUAUCUAGGGGCAAGAUAUGGGGUUAUCUUCUUGGGGCAGAUAUGGGGCAGCUAAUGGGGUAUCUAUGGGGCAGCUAUGGGUAGAUAUGGGGCAGAUAUGGCGGCAGCUAUGGGGGCAGAUAUGGGGUAUCUUGGGCAGCUAUGGGGUAUCUAUGGGGCAAUAAUGGGGCAGCUAUGGGUAUCUUAUGGGGCAGCUAUGGGGCAGCCAAUGGGGCAGCUAUGGGUAAUCUAUGGGGGCAGCUAUGGGACAGAUAUGGGGUGCUUUAAGGGUAUCUAUGGGGUCAUCUAUGGGGCAGCUAUGGGCAAGCUAUGGGCGGGUCUCUAUGGGGGGGUCCAAUGAGGGGGGGUCUCUUUUGGGGUCCAUUGGGGGGGUCUCUUUAGGGUCUAUUGGGGGGGGGGUCCUCUUGGGGGGCUAUUGGGGGGGUCUCUCUGGGGGGUCAAUGGGGGGGGUCUCUGUGGGGGGGGU